This 450-nucleotide ribosomal RNA is filed under the name uncultured Glomus. RNAcentral describes it as "SSU rRNA". It matches the Rfam family "Eukaryotic small subunit ribosomal RNA", at positions 569 to 1019 of the family's 1831-position model. The record is from RNAcentral. Lineage: Eukaryota; Fungi; Glomeromycota; Glomeromycetes; Glomerales; Glomeraceae.
AGCAGCCGCGGUAAUUCCAGCUCCAAUAGCGUAUAUUAAAGUUGCUGCAGUUAAGAAGCUCGUAGUUGAAUUUCGGGAUCAAUUUAUCGGUCGUGCCUAUGGUACUGUACGUACUGGUAUUGUUGGUUCCUCCUUUCUGAGGAGCCGCGAUGUCAUUAACUUGGUGUCGCGGGGAAUCAGGACUGUUACUUUGAAAAAUUAGAGUGUUUAAAGCAGGCUAACGCUUGAAUACAUUAGCAUGGAAUAAUGAAAUAGGACGUUUGAUCCUAUUUUGUUGGUUUCUAGGGUCGACGUAAUGAUUAAUAGGGAUAGUUGGGGGCAUUAGUAUUCAAUUGUCAGAGGUGAAAUUCUUGGAUUUAUUGAAGACUAACUACUGCGAAAGCAUUUGCCAAGGAUGUUUUCAUUAAUCAAGAACGAAAGUUAGGGGAUCGAAGACGAUCAGAUACCGUC